GAGAUAGAGUUCCAUUGCUGUUAUGAGCUUGGAGUCUUUGAAUGUCAAAGUUAGAGAAACCAUCAUGCUCCUCCUUCAUUUUAUAAAUAAGAGAACUGAAAUCCUGAGAGACUGAAGAAUUUCCCUAAGUCAAGUUCAUGAGCAGCACAGGCAAGAUUUAGAUGAACUUUCUUCCAGAAAGAGCUGUUGUCUUUCUCCAGCUUGCUCCUCUGUGCUAGCCCUUCUUAAAGCACUCCCAACACAUUCUGCCAAUCUCCCUGAACCAGCAGGAACAGCAGAAGGAACAGGAAUCCAGGCUACUAAAGGACAGAGAACACAAAAGAGUCAAGUUUCACUGUGAUGCCAGCCUACUGUCCAGGGCUGAUGCUCAGAAAUCAAGACCUGCCACUGCCUAAAGCAAUUUCAUGUGUAUAGAAAAAGUGAAGAAACAACUAUCAAUAUGUUGGCUCUAUGAGCAGAAAAAGAACCUCACAAAAGAAUCAAAGUACACUUUUGGAAAUUCAUCCUGACAAAGGUGAAACAUCUGACACUGGGAACAACCACUGAAUAUUUCAACUGGAAAAGUCAACACUGGUAUGGGAGGGGUGGGGGGGUGGAAUGGGUGUAGAAAAUUAAGAGGUAGAAACUUCCUAUUAUAAAAUAAGUAAGUCUUGGAGAUGUAAUUUCAGCAUAGGGAAUACGGUCAAUAAUAUUGUAAUAACUUUGUAUGGUGGCAGAUGGUUACCAGACUUACUGUGGUGAUCAUAAUGUACAUAAAUGUCAAACCAUUAUGAAGUACUCCUGAAACAAAUAUAAUAUUGUAUGUCAAUUGCAUGU
This is a long non-coding RNA of Phacochoerus africanus (Common warthog), 816 nucleotides long. RefSeq lists it as uncharacterized. The transcript is spliced from 3 exons. The record is from RefSeq and is a predicted model, not a curated record. NCBI's taxonomy places the organism in Eukaryota, Metazoa, Chordata, Mammalia, Artiodactyla, Suidae.